Teleopsis dalmanni is the source of this 531-nucleotide long non-coding RNA. RefSeq lists it as uncharacterized. The transcript has 3 exons. NCBI's taxonomy places the organism in Eukaryota, Metazoa, Arthropoda, Insecta, Diptera, Diopsidae. The record is from RefSeq and is a predicted model, not a curated record.
UCAGUAUGUUGUGAUAGUAAUUAUAUAAUGGAGUUACGGAAAGCUGAGUGCCGAAGAUUUGUAGAAGAUAUUUAGCAAUGGAUUACAAAUAUUUACAAUCACAACAAAGUACACAAAUUAAAACAAGGACAUUACUGUUGAGAGUGAACCUUGGAUUAAAAAGGAUUUCCGCAUAUCAAAACUCUGUGUAGUUCUAUGACAUCCAAAUGAAAGCGAAAAGUAUUUGCUGUUUACUAAAUGAUAAGCAAUAUGCCUCGGCCACUUUAAGAUAAACUAACUGGACAGAGAUUGGUUCAAUUAAUAAAAUUUGAACAAAAAGGUUUGAUUUAACAUCCUUGGAUAUUAUUGGAGAUGAUUAGUACUAUUUUGACUUGAAUAUGUUGAGAGAGACAUAUCUAAGCUUACUAAAUCAAGGAUCAACUCUCAGUUAAGCUUUAAAUUUACUUAUAUUAGAGCAAAAAUGUCCAAUUUCAAUUGUCUAUGGUAAUAUGGUUCUAUAUAAUAUUUUGCUAAAAUUUUAAAUAAAUAUAU